UACGGAGGGUGCAGGCGUUAUCCGGAUUCACUGGGUUUAAAGGGUGCGUAGGCGGGUAGGUAAGUCAGUGGGGAAAUCUUCGAGCUUAACUCGGAAACUGCCUUUGAUACUAUCUAUCUUGAAUAUUGUGGAGGUAAGCGGAAUAUGUCAUGUAGCGGUGAAAUGCUUAGAUAUGACAUAGAACACCUAUUGCGAAGGCAGCUUACUACGCAUAUAUUGACGCUGAGGCACGAAAGCGUGGGGAUCAAACAGG
This 253-nucleotide ribosomal RNA is filed under the name uncultured bacterium. RNAcentral's name for it is "partial 16S ribosomal RNA". It matches the Rfam family "Bacterial small subunit ribosomal RNA", at positions 524 to 776 of the family's 1533-position model. The record is from RNAcentral.